GCCGCGGUUGGACACGCCCUCUUCGGCCCUGGGAGUGAAGGGAGUGGAGGCGGAACCUGAAGUAGGUGCUAAGGCCGCGGAGGCUGGGAAUUUAGGUCGUUUUUGUUUGCUUUUUCAAUGGAGCUGACGAAUGUAGCUCAGGAUCUUGUAUGAAGUAGUUUUACGACAUUUACACUCUACCUGACCGGAAGCAGUUCUCGAGGCUGAGAAGUCCAGGAUCAAGGCUGUGGCAGAUUCAUUGUUGGGGUUCCUGUCACACAGCUACACAGAGGCCCAUCCACCCGGCUUGUGCAAAUCUGCUCACACCCUCCAUUGUCCUCACACCAGUCCAGCCCUGAAGAAAGAGCCGAUGGACAAGUUACCUGCAGACAAUCCAACUCUCCAACUGGUAUCUAAGGGCCAAGCUUUAAAGAAAGGAGAGGAAGGAAAAAAAGCCUGGAGUACUUUUCUGAAUCACAGAGGGACACUGCGCAGUGAAGGUGGACUUCGUCAUAAUCCCCAAUGAACUUGAAGACCGUGACGUGAAAGCGACAGCACCAGUCUCUGGCUCUCCUUCCUGUAUAAACAUGCCCUGACCAGACAGGAGCCGUGGCUUUUCCUGGAUUUGCCCACAGCACCCAGCUGAGCCCCUGGAGUGCAGGAACCAAGGUGUAAUCCUGAUGGGGUCUGCAACACACUGAGCAGAACAUACUCCAGGGGAGGAGUAUACUUGCCAGUGGCACUGAUUCGGGGCUUGGCUGUGUGACUUGCUUUGGUCUCCUGGAACCCUCAGAGGGUCAAGAAAAACUCCUCAAAGGCCAGGAAAUUUAAUGUUGCAUCUCUUCCAAAUACAGAAGAAACCAAUUCCAGAAAGGCUAAUCAUACUCCUUCAAAUCCGGGUUGGAAGGAAUGCUCACUCCUGGUGGUUCCAGUGCUGAAAGAAUGCCAGUGUCUAAUGAGGUCAGUGUGAGGGCAGAGACAGAGGGACAGGGACAGAGAGAGCAAGGGGGUCUUGACAGCAUCUCGCUCCCUGGACCCAGUCAUCCCCACAGCCACAUCUACUGAUGUGGUUUGGUUCUGUAACCAUUAGCUGCCUUGUUUUUGCAUAAACUAGUGUGAAAUGGUCUCUACUACUCAUAAGAGAAAGAACUUUGAUGAAUGCAGGCAUCUGCUUUAAGCAUUAUUGUAUUGGGGUGAUGGAAAUGGUCCAAAAUUAGAUUUUGGUGAUGGCUGUGCUGCUCUGUAGAUUUACUAAAAAUCAUUGAAUUUUACACCUAAAGCAAGUUAUGUUUUUUUGUAUUUAAACUAUGUAUGUGAUAAACUUGUUCUAAAAAUUAUUGUUGGGAGUUUCCGUCGUGGUGCAGCAGAAACGAAUCUGACUAGGAACAUGAGGUUGCAGGUUCAAUCCCUGGCCCUGCUCAGUGGGUAUAAGGGUCUGGUGUUGCUGUGGCUGUGGAUAGGCAGGUGGCAACAGCCUCGAUUAGACCCCUAGCCUGGGAACUUCCAUAAGCCUUGGUGCAGCCCUAAAAAGACAAUAGACCAAAAAAAAAAAAAAAAGAAAAGAAAAGAAAUUAUUGUUGCUUAACAAAACCAGUGAGUGUUUUUUAAAAAUAAAUUAUUAUGAUUAUUGUUUGGUCCAUAGUCUUUUCUUAUUUUUCAUUCACCCAUUCAUUCAUUUGAUAACUUUGUUGCAUAACCACCAUGUUUCAGGAAAUAUACUAGGUGCUGGGCAUAUACUGGUGAGUAAAAAGAAAUGUUUACAGACUUUUAUUGUAAGUCCUUUUAAAUGUUGAUAGGUGUCCUAGUCACCAACCUUCCGUUAUUCUCAUUACAUCCUUUCAUUUGCAGAUAAUCUACAUUCCCCUCAGACUGAAAUUCAAAGCAGGAAGAACAGAAUGCCCUCUUUGAUCACAUUGAGAAUAAAGCACUUUGACACCUGGAACUGGGGAUCUACCGCUGCCCCAGGACUUUAAGCAAGGCUUGAUCUCACUAAGACUCAGUUUUCUGGUCUAUAAAAUGGAGCUUGUAAGAUCUGCCUCAUACAUUGUCCUGAGGAUUAGACAGUUCUUGGGUACAAAGUGCUGGCCCAAUAUUAGAUCCCAUUCCCCCUCCUCUAAAGAGGAUGAGGACAAAUCCAAUACUAGAGGCUCCACGACCGUCCUCCAAGAGGAGGAGAGGCUACUCACCCUCCUUCGAUGAUGAAGUAUCGGAGCUUGUCAUUGCUGUCUCGGGAGGGGGUGGCAUAGCACUUGUUCAGCGUCAGGAUCAGAUGUGUUGAGUCGGCUCCGACCACAAAGACCCCGACGUAUAGCACGUCCCGGGUGGUCAGCACUACCUCACCCUGGCGGUAGGGGUGCUUGUAGGAGGCGUUUUUGUACAGUGCCAUCUUGGUGGUGAAGCUGCCUUCUUGGGUGGGAACUGUCAGGUUAAUGACGCUACAAGGGAAACACUCAUGAGUCGGAAAAGCCCAAGCAACAGCAUCCAUUCAAUUACCUACCGUUUUCUAAGCUGCAAAUGCAGAAGGAAGGCCAAGCAGGGAGCAGUGAAGCCUAAUCGGGUACAUGUGGCAAUUAAAAUCUAAUGAAAUUUAAAAACUCAAUUCUUCAGCAUCCCUCUCCCCCAGCGCAUUUCAAAUGCUCAGUGGCCAUGGAGAGCAGCUGUAAGGGACAGUACAGUUACAGAACAUUUCCAUCACUGAAGAAAGUUCUGUCGAACAGUGCUGGUCACAAGGCAUUUAAGUUCAGAAAAUACGAAUUAUUCUUUUCCUAGAGCAUCAAAGACAGAUGCUAGCAAUUUUGAUUAUGUGAACUUUAACUGUCAAGGAGAAGACAGAAUGACACCUGCAGCCUGUGAGCUUCUUACCUUAGCAUUGGCUUCACGACAGAAUCCAAGGAGAUCUUGAUAUCCAGUUCAUAAGCACACGAAAAUUCCACAUUGAUCGUCCUGUCCCUCGUGAUGAUGUUGCCAGUAUUGUUGGCACUUUCGAUCCAAAUUGUGUUUUUAUACAUGAUAUGAGUGCCAUUGGACUGCAGAGCAAAGGGAGGUCAGAAAUCAUUAAACCUGGGUGUGAGUACGUGGCCUGCAUUUCAAAUCCUUGGGCCUGAAAGUGGAGAAAUGGCUUCAUUCCAUAUAUAACCCAGAGGCCAGUAUAAAUCAGGAUGGAGCUAGCCUCAGCAUUUACUAGGAAAAAAAAGUAUUACAAUAGAUGUCACCAGUACUCUUCGGUCUGAUAACCCUGAAUGCCCAUGGAAGGUGAUUUCAUGUACCACUGAAUUCUAAGUACAACCAGCCCCCAGUUAUCUGUGGGAACCCUGGCUGGGGACAGCAUGAAGUAUUGCCAUCCCAAGGUAAUACAAUCUUCUCUCUAAGUUCUUAAUUCAGAAUCCCUCCUCCACCAGAUCUUGUACCAGACAUGCCCACAAGAACCAAAAUGAACACAUGCACAUGUCUCUGUCUUCCUCCUUUCACUCCCUGAUAAAAGUGUUAAUGAGCACAGUUAUUAAAAAAAAAACAAAAAAAAAAACACAGCAGAAAGGUACAGAAAGAAGAGAAGCAAGACGCUUUGCUAAACUAUCAAUCAGAUAACCUGACACCAAAAGUUAGAACCUUGUAUUUCUGCAGCCAACUCUUAAAUUAUGUCUGGGACCCCUUAGCCCCUGAAAUAGCAGAAUCCAGCUGUCUUUAUCUGGAAGAACAAUAGAAGCAUGAGAGAGGUAGCAAAAAUGUGUCAAUACAAGGGUAAGGUGACAGCAGACAGUGCAAACCAGGGCAGGAAGUGUGUCACUUAUCUUGUUUUCAGUUCAAUCAACCACUUAGCACACAGUGAUUAUUCUCCCACCACUGUCCUUUAUUUUGCACAUGCCUUUUGCUGUUUUCCAGGAGCAUUUUUCUAAGUAGAACAGCCUGAGGUUGGUUUAAGGACAGUCAAUGUACAAACACCGGGAGCUGUCACCUGCUCUGCCCAGGUGCUCUUUCCGCCCCCGUUCCUCACCUGCACGAUGUUUCCGCAAUUCCCUUUGGUGUUGUUGAUCUGGAAGGAGAUAAAGUCUUCCCCCUCGAUGCCAGUGCACUGCCUGUCAUUGACCCGAACGCCCUCCCUCUCGAAGCCGAGCUGGAAGAGUUUGCACUUGGAUAUGGACACCUCCAUCUGGGCCGCCUUGCAGGUUACCUCGGCGUCGAUGAUGUCAUGGGAGUCUGUAGGAAGAGUUAUUCCAAAAGGCAAGUCAGUGGGAGCUGGUCUUGGCUGCGGGGGUGUGGCAAGACACCCCAUUCGCUUUAGAAGCGGCUAAUGCUCUUCACACAGAGGCUGCGGCUUUUCUAAUGCAGCUCUGAUCAAACUAAAUGAGUAUAUGAACUCAUUCAAGGCAAUAACUCGGCAACACUAGAGCCUUUUUUUAAAAGAUGAAAAUGCUGGGAGUUCCUGUUAUGGCUCAGCAAUAAUGAGCCCAACUAGUAUCCAUGAGGACGUGGGUUUGAUCUCUGGCCUCUCUCAGUGGGUUAAGGAUCCAGUAUUGCUAUGAGCUGCAGUGUAAGUCGCAGACGUGGCUCAGAUCUGGUGUUGCUGUGGCUGUGGGAUGGGCUGGUGGCUGCAGCUCUGAUUCAACUCCCAGCCUGGGAACUUCCAUAUGCCACCAGUGCAGCCCUAAAAAGCAAAAAAAAAAAGAAAAGAAAAGAAAAGAAAAAAACAGAUGAAAACGCUGUAUAAUGCUUCUUUUGUCUUUAUAAACGCAGGAUUUCCUCCUAUGUUUCCUCCUGUUA
Non-coding RNA from Sus scrofa (pig), 4737 nucleotides. The record is from RefSeq and is a predicted model, not a curated record. Lineage: Eukaryota; Metazoa; Chordata; Mammalia; Artiodactyla; Suidae.